CAGCAGGGGUACUAUUGUUCCGGGGCGUGAGGCAGGGGGCCAGGGACAGGGAAGAGACCUGUGCGUCCAAGCCCGCCGGGCCUCGGACCGUCUGCUCUUCAGGUGUGCAAGAAAUGCAAGACUGCCGUCUCAGUACAGCCCCUUCAGCGUUGUACUAUUGCAUGUAAUGAAGCUGCAGAGGUACAGCCACCAUGGCCUGGGCUGCUAAGUCUACUCUGAGGGCUUCCUGAAGACUCAGAGAAACAGAAGCCUGCAUCCCUGCAGCUCCUGCAUCAGUCUCUGUGAGCUCUACAGAAGGGAAUCCCUCAACUCUUUCAAAAGCCUAAUUCUGCUAUAGCUGGGAAGAUCCUCAAAAAGGCUUAAUAGCAAUAUCAGAUUAAGUUCUUCGAUUCUUUUACUAGUGAAAUUAGAGAAAUACACCGCUUAUAUUAGUUAAUACCUAUAGCUACACUGGAAAGGGGUUAACUACUCAGUUAAGCUAGAAAAUCAACACAUACAUUUGCUGGCCUCUGCUUUGUUCUGUGUAACUUUGAUCAAAAGCCUUGUCAUCCUGUUUUGGUGCCUUGGUUUUAAGUUUCAAUUUCAUACAUCUUUAAAGAUUUAAAAAAUGUUUCAUCUCUAUCAUGAAAUAUUAUACAGUGGCUAUAAAAAGAGCUUAUUCUAUCUACAUCUAUAUACCUAUUUAUCUAUCUAUAAUCUAUCUCAAGGUAGAAAUAUCUCCCAGACAGAUUAAGAGAAGCAAGUUAAUGAGAAACAUGCCUAAGGCACAUUAUUAAAGGAAACAACCAGAUAAAAAUAUUGUUAAGGAAAGCAAGUCAUAAAAUAUAUAUAAAACGAUUUA
This is a long non-coding RNA of Myotis davidii, 841 nucleotides long. RefSeq lists it as uncharacterized. The record is from RefSeq and is a predicted model, not a curated record. Lineage: Eukaryota; Metazoa; Chordata; Mammalia; Chiroptera; Vespertilionidae. The transcript is spliced from 3 exons.